This 330-nucleotide ribosomal RNA is filed under the name uncultured bacterium. RNAcentral describes it as "bacterial SSU rRNA". It matches the Rfam family "Bacterial small subunit ribosomal RNA", at positions 568 to 898 of the family's 1533-position model. The record is from RNAcentral.
UCCGUAGGCGGUGUGGUAAGUCGAUAGUGAAAUCUCCGGGCUUAACCCAGAGGCUGCUAACGAAACUGCCAUGCUAGAGUGUGAGAGAGGCGAGUGGAAUUACGGGUGUAGCGGUGAAAUGCGUAGAUAUCCGUAGGAACAUCCGAGGCGAAGGCGGCUCGCUGGAUCACAACUGACGCUGAGGGGCGAAAGCUAGGGGAGCAAACAGGAUUAGAUACCCUGGUAGUCCUAGCCCUAAACCAUCAGGACUUGGGGUUUGCCCUGUACGGGGCAAGUCCCGUAGCUAACGCGUUAAGUCCUGCGCCUGGGGAGUACGGUCGCAAGGCUGAA